Molecule: ribosomal RNA, 248 nt
Filed under: uncultured Lactobacillus sp.
Lineage: Bacteria; Bacillati; Bacillota; Bacilli; Lactobacillales; Lactobacillaceae
Description: partial 16S ribosomal RNA
Rfam family: Bacterial small subunit ribosomal RNA
Source: RNAcentral
CACGUGGGUAACCUGCCCAAGAGAUCGGGAUAACACCUGGAAACAGAUGCUAAUACCGGAUAACAACAGAUGGUGCCUAUCAACUGUUUAAAAGAUGGUUCUGCUAUCACUCUUGGAUGGACCUGCGGUGCAUUAGCUAGUUGGUAGGGUAACGGCCUACAAAGGCGAUGAUGCAUAGCCGAGUUGAGAGACUGAUCGGCCACAUUGGGACUGAGACACGGCCCAAACUCCUACGGGAGGCAGCAGGC